Sander lucioperca (pikeperch) is the source of this 142-nucleotide long non-coding RNA. RefSeq lists it as uncharacterized. The transcript is spliced from 3 exons. Lineage: Eukaryota; Metazoa; Chordata; Actinopteri; Perciformes; Percidae. The record is from RefSeq and is a predicted model, not a curated record.
CAUUUGCCCCUUGGGGAGGAUUUCCCGACUGGAGUGCGCAUCUCUGUUUACUUUAUGGCGCAGUACUACUAACCGGAGCUAAGUAAAAUUCCGCCGCUGCUGAGAAACUAGUCCCUCAAAAUGUAAUGCAAUCAUUGAGAUG